UAGUCCACGCCGUAAACGAUGGUUACUAGCUGUUCGGACUUCGGUUUGAGUGGUUAAGCGAAAGUGAUAAGUAACCCACCUGGGGAGUACGUUCGCAAGAAUGAAACUCAAAGGAAUUGACGGGGGCCCGCACAAGCGGUGGAGCAUGUGGUUUAAUUCGAUGAUACGCGAGGAACCUUACCAGGGCUUAAAUGUAGAUUGACAGGAUCAGAGAUGGUUUUUUCUCGGACAAUUUACAAGGUGCUGCAUGGUUGUCGUCAGCUCGUGCCGUGAGGUGUCAGGUUAAGUCCUAUAACGAGCGCAACCCCUGUUGUUAGUUGCCAGCACAUUAAGGUGGGAACUCUAACAAGACUGCCGGUGCAAACCGUGAGGAAGGUGGGGAUGACGUCAAAUCAUCACGGCCCUUACGUCCUGGGGCCACACACGUGCUGCAAUGGUAAGGACAGAGAGCAGCCACUGGGGU
RNAcentral lists this ribosomal RNA (463 nucleotides) under uncultured bacterium. Its description in RNAcentral is "bacterial SSU rRNA". It matches the Rfam family "Bacterial small subunit ribosomal RNA", at positions 791 to 1259 of the family's 1533-position model. The record is from RNAcentral.